UACGUAGGGCGCAAGCGUUAUCCGGAAUUAUUGGGCGUAAAGAGCUCGUAGGCGGUUUGUCGCGUCUGCCGUGAAAGUCCGGGGCUCAACUCCGGAUCUGCGGUGGGUACGGGCAGACUAGAGUGAUGUAGGGGGAGACUGGAAAUUCCUGGUGUAGCGGUGAAAAUGCGCAGAUAUCAGGAGGAACACCGAUGGCGAAGGCAGGUCUCUGGGCAUUACCUGACGCUGAGGAGCGAAAGUGUGGGGAGCGAACAGG
RNAcentral lists this ribosomal RNA (256 nucleotides) under uncultured bacterium. RNAcentral describes it as "partial 16S ribosomal RNA". It matches the Rfam family "Bacterial small subunit ribosomal RNA", at positions 524 to 776 of the family's 1533-position model. The record is from RNAcentral.